UUAUUGGAGAGUUUGAUCCUGGCUCAGGACGAACGCUGGCGGCGUGCCUAAUACAUGCAAGUCGAGCGAAUCUGAGGGAGCUUGCUCCCAAAGAUUAGCGGCGGACGGGUGAGUAACACGUGGGCAACCUGCCUGUAAGACUGGGAUAACUUCGGGAAACCGGAGCUAAUACCGGAUAAUCCCUUUCCUCACAUGAGGAAAGGCUGAAAGACGGUUUCGGCUGUCACUUACAGAUGGGCCCGCGGCGCAUUAGCUAGUUGGUGAGGUAACGGCUCACCAAGGCCACGAUGCGUAGCCGACCUGAGAGGGUGAUCGGCCACACUGGGACUGAGACACGGCCCAGACUCCUACGGGAGGCAGCAGUAGGGAAUCUUCCGCAAUGGACGAAAGUCUGACGGAGCAACGCCGCGUGAGUGAUGAAGGUUUUCGGAUCGUAAAACUCUGUUGUUAGGGAAGAACAAGUAUCGGAGUAACUGCCGGUACCUUGACGGUACCUAACCAGAAAGCCACGGCUAACUACGUGCCAGCAGCCGCGGUAAUACGUAGGUGGCAAGCGUUGUCCGGAAUUAUUGGGCGUAAAGCGCGCGCAGGUGGUUCCUUAAGUCUGAUGUGAAAGCCCACGGCUCAACCGUGGAGGGUCAUUGGAAACUGGGGAACUUGAGUGCAGAAGAGGAAAGUGGAAUUCCAAGUGUAGCGGUGAAAUGCGUAGAGAUUUGGAGGAACACCAGUGGCGAAGGCGACUUUCU
Molecule: ribosomal RNA, 746 nt
Filed under: Pseudomonas sp. MPR-R5A
Lineage: Bacteria; Pseudomonadati; Pseudomonadota; Gammaproteobacteria; Pseudomonadales; Pseudomonadaceae
Description: bacterial SSU rRNA
Rfam family: Bacterial small subunit ribosomal RNA
Source: RNAcentral